AGGCUGAUGUAUAAUCUCAUUACAUGUGUCUGGAUGUCUAUCGGUAAAUACAGCAUGUUGCACCAGACUUCUGAAAGACAUCAUGCAGCAUUAAGUACCCUCCAAGGACCUUCGCUAUUUGCUGGAAGAAAGUUGUUCUACCGGAGCCAGGUCAAUUACCUCUUUCUAAGAGGAGUUGUAAGAAGCUACAAUUCACCCCCAGAAGGCAUGCAGAGAGGGCAUCUAGGAGAGACCCACUGCAACACUUGAAUGCACCAUCAAGUGAGCAAUUGGGAGGGUACUAUUUAUCCCUGACUCUUGCUGAAAUGUGAACCAAUAAAUAGGCUGUCAUCUAUCUGGUGGCA
Monodelphis domestica (gray short-tailed opossum) is the source of this 344-nucleotide long non-coding RNA. The record is from Ensembl. Lineage: Eukaryota; Metazoa; Chordata; Mammalia; Didelphimorphia; Didelphidae.